UUGUCAUCUUCGUCACCAAUUGGCACUCCCCUUGCUACGUCAUACUAUUCAGUGUCACCUUUGAGACGAUCCCAUUGCCAUCCUCAUUUUCAACCUUGACGGUCUUGGUGGAGAUGGUAGAAAGGUGGUAAGAAUUGGAUGCGACUAUCAUAGCUAACCAUUUCUAGAGGGAGAGGACAAGAAUGAAAAGUAACAAGGCAAGUUUAGUUUUUCUCCCCCUUUUUUUCCCUCUUCUUUUUAAGAGCUAAAUAACUCUUUCCUUCCUUCCCUCUUUUCCCUUUCUUAGUAUUUUCUUCUUUUGCCCUUUCUAAAUAACAUUUUGAAAGAAGACGAAGAAUCAUCUUUUAAAGGAUGUAUCAACCAAAACUACAAAGAAAAUAACUUAAUGGAAAUUCCUUAGCUUGCUGCUCAAUCAAAGGAUCAAUAAUUAACAUCAAUAACAAAGUCUCUCACUCAAUGAAAGGAUGACUUAAGCUCAUUAAACCAAGAGAAAUUUGAUCAAAGGGAUGGAAAAUCACAAAUUCAGAAAAGAAGAUAGAUGCACAUGCCAUGUGGGAGGAGGGGUAGCAAAUUAUGAACCCCCCAUGCACCAUUAUAUAUAUCAGUACAAACAGAUAAAGUCCCUAGCCAGUUCCUAAAGUUAAAAUAGUACAGGGGUCAUGUGAUGCAUGCUGUUUGCCUUGUUUUAGUUCACGAGGAGAUCAUGCCCUCCAUCUUAAGUUUCUCUCACAGAAAGAGAGAAAGAGAGAGAGAGCUUAAGCAGAGUAGUGAGUCCUCAAAUCUAAAUUCAAUGUCAAGUGUUGCAUCUCAUUCAAUUUUUCUUCUGUUCUGAGGAAAAAAAGGAAAGAAAAACUACUAAGGAUACGCAGACGCAGACGCAGACACUUGAGCAAAACAGGAAGAUAGAUGAUGGAGUGGGAAAACGCCGCUACUGUUAAAAGAUUUGACCUGAAACAGAGGUGGCUUUUUAUACGUCUAAUUAAUUGUGUUAUCUCGAGACUGUAAUCGUGGACAGCAUGAGCCCCUCCCUCCCAAUUAUUGAUCGUUUUCAUGGGGAAAUAUGGAGUGCUGUCAUUUCAUGAAAGUGUUUUGCAGGCCAACAGUGAAAUGAAGAAGAUGAUAAUUACGAUGAAGAAAAAUGAAUUGAAUUUCUUUGAUUUAGCUACAGCAUGAUUAGAUCUGUUGCAAUCGUAGAAUUGGUAAAAUUGGGGGUAAUUAGAGGAGGAAAUGGAGCUUUCUCAAGUGAAGAAGAAGAAGGAGGAGGAGAGAGGAGCGUACCAGGAAGGUGGCGAUGGAGGAGUAGGCGAGGGUGCGGAAGCGGCCGCAGUAGGCGUCGGAGACGAAGGCGCCGACGAGCGGAGCGAAGUUGGUGGUGCCGGAGAAGAUGUUGACGAUGUUGGCCGCCGCCACUUGCUGGACGUGGAAGCGCUUCACCAGGUACACCGUCAAGUUGGCCGUCAGCCCGUACGACGCCACCCUCUCGAAGCUCUCGUUUCCUGCGCGCAAGCAAAACAGCUUCAGAUCGUCGCCGCCGAGCCAUCGGGGUCCCGAAGAAAGCAUUUUUACGGAAAUCGAACGAGGCAACAGAUACCGAUAAUGUAAGGCAUGCACUUCCACCCUUGCGGCUCCCUCUUCUCCGGCUUGGUCUUGUCUCCGCCGCUGCCACCGCCGCCGCCGCCACGGGCGGCGUCGCCGGAGUGCACAUUGCCCUGGUGAAGCAGAGAGUCGCAAGUGAAGCAGUCGGAGAGCUUGCUCAAGGACGAUCUCUCCAUCCGAUCGAUCUCGGCCUCUUCUGUCAAUUGUCUGGCGAUCGAUCAGCGGUCAGUCCUUUUGGUUUAUGUAGGACGGAGCUACUGCAGAGGAGUGAUGGCGAUUUGUACGCCACGCUGUAAACAUUUAUAGAACAUUUACAAUCA
Molecule: long non-coding RNA, 1916 nt
Organism: Zingiber officinale
Lineage: Eukaryota; Viridiplantae; Streptophyta; Magnoliopsida; Zingiberales; Zingiberaceae
Exons: 2
Source: RefSeq, a predicted model, not a curated record